Molecule: ribosomal RNA, 381 nt
Filed under: uncultured eukaryote
Lineage: Eukaryota
Description: partial 18S ribosomal RNA
Rfam family: Eukaryotic small subunit ribosomal RNA
Source: RNAcentral
CCAUAGCGUAUAUUAAAGCUGUUGCGGUUAAAAAGCUCGUAGUUGGAUUUCUGUCAAGGACAACUGGUCCGCCCCUCGGGUGAGCACAUAGUUUGGUCUUGGCAUCUUGUUGGAAACUGUUGCUGCACUUGGUUGUGUGGCGCAGUGUCCAGCACUUUCACUUUGAGGAAAUUGGAGUGUUUCAAGCAGGCACAUGCCUUUGGACACAGUAGCAUGGAAUAAUUAGAUUGGGCUUUUGCUCCAACUUGUCGGUUUCUGGAGCUGAGGUGAGAAUUAAUGGGGAUUGUUGGGGGCAUCCGAAUUUAGCCGUCAGAGGUGAAAUUCUUGGAUCUGCUAAAGACGGACAACUGCGAAAGCGUUUGCCCAGGAUGUUUUCAUUGA